UACAGAGGGGGCAAGCGUUGUUCGGAAUUACUGGGCGUAAAGGGCGCGUAGGCGGUCUUGUAAGUCUUGUGUGAAAUCCCUCGGCUUAACUGAGGAACUGCACGAGAUACUGCGAGACUUGAGUUCGGGAGAGGGAAGCGGAAUUCCGGGUGUAGCGGUGAAAUGCGUAGAUAUCCGGAGGAACACCGGUGGCGAAGGCGGCUUCCUGGACCGACACUGACGCUGAGGCGCGAAAGCUAGGGGAGCAAACGGG
RNAcentral lists this ribosomal RNA (253 nucleotides) under uncultured bacterium. Its description in RNAcentral is "partial 16S ribosomal RNA". It matches the Rfam family "Bacterial small subunit ribosomal RNA", at positions 524 to 776 of the family's 1533-position model. The record is from RNAcentral.